CAAGACAAAAAGAAAAAAAAAACAGAAAAAAAGAC
Molecule: small RNA, 35 nt
Filed under: Arabidopsis thaliana (thale cress)
Lineage: Eukaryota; Viridiplantae; Streptophyta; Magnoliopsida; Brassicales; Brassicaceae
Description: ATSL108810
Source: RNAcentral